This 430-nucleotide ribosomal RNA is filed under the name Pseudomonadota bacterium. RNAcentral's name for it is "Proteobacteria bacterium partial 16S ribosomal RNA". It matches the Rfam family "Bacterial small subunit ribosomal RNA", at positions 355 to 776 of the family's 1533-position model. The record is from RNAcentral. Lineage: Bacteria; Pseudomonadati; Pseudomonadota.
UGGGGAAUAUUGGACAAUGGGCGAAAGCCUGAUCCAGCCAUGCCGCGUGUGUGAAGAAGGCCUUUUGGUUGUAAAGCACUUUAAGCGAGGAGGAGGCUACUAGUACUAAUACUACUGGAUAGUGGACGUUACUCGCAGAAUAAGCACCGGCUAACUCUGUACCAGCAGCCGCGGUAAUACAGAGGGUGCGAGCGUUAAUCGGAUUUACUGGGCGUAAAGCGUGCGUAGGCGGCUGAUUAAGUCGGAUGUGAAAUCCCUGAGCUUAACUUAGGAAUUGCAUUCGAUACUGGUCAGCUAGAGUAUGGGAGAGGAUGGUAGAAUUCCAGGUGGAGCGGUGAAAUGCGUAGAGAUCUGGAGGAAUACCGAAGGCGAAGGCAGCCAUCUGGCCUAAUACUGUCGCUGAGGUACGAAAGAAUGGGGAGCAAACAGG